CCCACGCCUUUAAUAACACUGGUUGGAACUCAUGAUUUUUUCAUCAUGUUAUUUGGUCUUCACUGCCAUUCAUUUCCAUUUUACCUGUUCUUAAUUUGCCUUGUUUACUUGUAAGUCAAAAUUAUGACUGAUAUUUGUCAAUUCUCAUAGCAAUACUCACACUUGCCAUCGUUUCUAGGAGAACACAUGUUUUAAUACUUGAAUGAGGUUUUACUUCUAGUUAAGCUAUUAAUCUACUUCAAAUGAUUUUUAGUUUAGUACAUAUUCUGCACUUUGGAAUUUCUGAUUUCAUAAUUGUCCAUGAUAGCAUACAAAAUAUUAGCACUGUAAUUACUUUGGGACAAAUUGUUAAUUGACUUGACUGUUUUUUUUUCUUUCAGCUUGUGUUGAUCAAGAUGAGGGUUGAUGCUUUGUUUGGCAGACAUUUUGGUCACUGAAUCUGUCCCUGUAAUGAGAAAAUUGUAGGAGAUUUUUCAUUUUUCAUGAUUCUUAGCAACUCUGCAAUAAGCUCUGUGAGCGUAUCUAUACAUUAAAUGGUGUUGCCAAUUUAAUACUGGAUUGGAACCACUAGCGAAGCAGCAUGAGGAACAACCACUUAUAGAACUGAGCUGGGAGCCAAAGAAGAUGUGAAAAUGAAUGUGGAUGUGGAGAGGACUACUUCUGCUGCUCUAGUAAAAGAUUAUGAAAAUGGGUUGUGUAUUUUUUUAAAGCAAAUGGAUCAUGAACUUGUGAUUUAUAGGAUUGAGAGGCAAAGGCAACGGUGGUGGUUCAGAAGGCUUGGGUAAGGUAGGCAAAGGAGACAGUAUGCUGCUUUAUAAGUAUCCUUGUACGUGUUGUGAUCUACUGGUUUUUUGUCUGCAGUGUCCAUGUUCAUACAUUUUGCAUUUGUGCUUCCUGGAUAUUCAUUGGAGAAAAGUUAUAGCAAUUGUCAGAAUUCUGCAGCUACAGAAAAAAAUUAGAUUAGAAUCGAAAUCAAAUUUCCCCUUUCAGCUGACGAACCCAUGUAGAUCCUAAUUCAAUGCUCUGUUUUCUCCUCUGCAUAUAAUCUCAUCACCCUACUCUCAAUCCUCUCGCGUUCAUAGAAUCUGCUUCCCCUUUUCCACUCUGCUGAAUUUCACUUCUCACCCUUUCGUUCCAAACCUCUUUCCACUCCCAAAUCUCGCACAAACCAAAGGGCUGGGCAAGGGAGGCGCUAAGAGGAACAAGAUGGUUCUUUGAGAUAACAUCUGGGGGAUCACCAAGCCUGCGGUUCAUCUGCUGGCUCAUAGAGGUGGAUGAAGGGGAUCAGUGAGUUGACCUACAAGGAGACUCGUGGUGUCCUGAAGAUUGGAUAAAUUACUAUGUGAUCCUUGGAUUUUGAUAAUAUUAACGAUUUAGAUUCCUCUAUUUUUGAAAGGAAAAAAUUAGUAUUUAGUAUUUUAUUAUAGCGAAAUGAAUGAUUAGAUUCUCGUAUUUUAAAAAAUAA
RNAcentral lists this unclassified non-coding RNA (1465 nucleotides) under Hevea brasiliensis (rubber tree). Lineage: Eukaryota; Viridiplantae; Streptophyta; Magnoliopsida; Malpighiales; Euphorbiaceae. The record is from RNAcentral.